This 69-nucleotide transfer RNA is filed under the name Cautires sp. UPOL VK0256. RNAcentral's name for it is "tRNA-Phe". The record is from RNAcentral. Lineage: Eukaryota; Metazoa; Arthropoda; Insecta; Coleoptera; Lycidae.
UGUUUUAAUAGCUUAUGUUUAAAGUGUAAUAUUGAAGAUAUUAAGAAGGUUUUUUUAUCCUUAAAAUAU